UGGGGGCUUUGCCAAAGGGUUCACUGAUUGGU
Molecule: non-coding RNA, 32 nt
Filed under: Homo sapiens (human)
Lineage: Eukaryota; Metazoa; Chordata; Mammalia; Primates; Hominidae
Source: RNAcentral